Molecule: ribosomal RNA, 253 nt
Filed under: uncultured bacterium
Lineage: Bacteria
Description: partial 16S ribosomal RNA
Rfam family: Bacterial small subunit ribosomal RNA
Source: RNAcentral
UACGAAGGGUGCUAGCGUUGUUCGGAAUUACUGGGCGUAAAGCGCGCGUAGGCGGCUAUUCAAGUCAGAGGUGAAAUCCUUGGGCUCAACCCAAGAAUUGCCUUUGAAACUGUGUAGCUAGAGUGUCGGAGGGGAUAGCGGAAUUCCUAAUGUAGAGGUGAAAUUCGUAGAUAUUAGGAGGAACACCGGUGGCGAAGGCGGCUAUCUGGACGACAACUGACGCUGAGGCGCGAAAGCACGGGGAUCAAACAGG